This 147-nucleotide ribosomal RNA is filed under the name Coprinopsis episcopalis. RNAcentral's name for it is "5.8S ribosomal RNA". It matches the Rfam family "5.8S ribosomal RNA". From Rfam's summary of the family: 5.8S ribosomal RNA (5.8S rRNA) is a component of the large subunit of the eukaryotic ribosome. It is transcribed by RNA polymerase I as part of the 45S precursor that also contains 18S and 28S rRNA. Functionally, it is thought that 5.8S rRNA may be involved in ribosome translocation. Lineage: Eukaryota; Fungi; Basidiomycota; Agaricomycetes; Agaricales; Psathyrellaceae. The record is from RNAcentral.
AACUUUCAACAACGGAUCUCUUGGCUCUCGCAUCGAUGAAGAACGCAGCGAAAUGCGAUAAGUAAUGUGAAUUGCAGAAUUCAGUGAAUCAUCGAAUCUUUGAACGCACCUUGCGCUCCUUGGUAUUCCGAGGAGCAUGCCUGUUUG